Molecule: ribosomal RNA, 500 nt
Filed under: uncultured Glomeromycotina
Lineage: Eukaryota; Fungi; Glomeromycota
Description: partial small subunit ribosomal RNA
Rfam family: Eukaryotic small subunit ribosomal RNA
Source: RNAcentral
CCAAUAGCGUAUAUUAAAGUUGUUGCAGUUAAAAAGCUCGUAGUUGAAUUUCGGGGUCAGUAGGUUGGUCGUGCCACUGGUAUGUACUGAUCUCACUGAUUCCUCCUUCCUGAUGAGCCGUAAUGCCAUUAAUUUGGUGUUGCAGGGAAUCUGGACUGUUACUUUGAAAAAAUUAGAGUGUUUAAAGCAGGCUAACGCUUGAAUACAUUAGCAUGGAAUAAUGAAAUAGGACGUUCGAUCCUAUUUUGUUGGUUUCUAGGAUUGACGUAAUGAUUAAUAGGGAUAGUUGGGGGCAUUAGUAUUCAAUUGUCAGAGGUGAAAUUCUUGGAUUUAUUGAAGACUAACUACUGCGAAAGCAUUUGCCAAGGAUGUUUUCAUUAAUCAAGAACGAAAGUUAGGGGAUCGAAGACGAUCAGAUACCGUCGUAGUCUUAACCAUAAACUAUGCCGACUAGGGAUCGGAUGAUGUUAAUUUUUUAAUGACUCAUUCGGCGCCUUACG